ACGUAGGGUCCAAGCGUUAUCCGGAAUUACUGGGCGUAAAGAGUUGCGUAGGUGGCAUAGAAAGCGGACAGUGAAAGCGUGUGGCUCAACCAUACAUCCAUUGUCUGAACUCCUAAGCUAGAGAACGAGAGAGGUAGAUGGAAUUCCUGAUGUAGGGGUAAUAUCCGUAGAUAUCAGGAGGAACACCGAUGGCGUAAGCAGUCUACUGGCUCGUUUCUGACACUAAGGCACGAAAGCGUGGGGAGCAAACAGGA
This 254-nucleotide ribosomal RNA is filed under the name uncultured prokaryote. Its description in RNAcentral is "partial 16S ribosomal RNA". It matches the Rfam family "Bacterial small subunit ribosomal RNA", at positions 525 to 777 of the family's 1533-position model. The record is from RNAcentral.